RNAcentral lists this transfer RNA (82 nucleotides) under Rickettsiales bacterium. RNAcentral describes it as "tRNA-OTHER". Lineage: Bacteria; Pseudomonadati; Pseudomonadota; Alphaproteobacteria; Rickettsiales. The record is from RNAcentral.
GGGCGCUGUAUUUUAAUAUUUAAUACUUGUUCUUUGACUUUUAGCCAAUGGGUCAAGGGUUCAAAUCCCUUCGCGCCCACCA